Molecule: ribosomal RNA, 253 nt
Filed under: uncultured bacterium
Lineage: Bacteria
Description: partial 16S ribosomal RNA
Rfam family: Bacterial small subunit ribosomal RNA
Source: RNAcentral
UACGUAGGGGGCAAGCGUUGUCCGGAAUCAUUGGGCGUAAAGAGCGUGUAGGCGGCCCGAUAAGUCCGCUGUGAAAGUCCAGGGCUCAACCCUGGGAUGCCGGUGGAUACUGUCGGGCUCGAGUCCGGAAGAGGAGUGUGGAAUUCCUGGUGUAGCGGUGGAAUGCGCAGAUAUCAGGAGGAACACCGAUGGCGAAGGCAGAUCUCUGGGCCGUAACUGACGCUGAGGAGCGAAAGCAUGGGGAGCGAACAGG